UUGUGUUACAGCUCUUUUAGGAUUUGUCUUUUAGAAUCUCCAGUCCUCACAGGAAAACCCCC
Molecule: small nuclear RNA, 62 nt
Filed under: Pan paniscus (pygmy chimpanzee)
Lineage: Eukaryota; Metazoa; Chordata; Mammalia; Primates; Hominidae
Description: U7 small nuclear RNA (ENSPPAG00000012569.1)
Source: RNAcentral